Molecule: transfer RNA, 72 nt
Filed under: Candidatus Helarchaeota archaeon
Lineage: Archaea; Promethearchaeati; Candidatus Helarchaeota
Description: tRNA-Thr
Rfam family: tRNA
About the family: Transfer RNA (tRNA) molecules are approximately 80 nucleotides in length. Their secondary structure includes four short double-helical elements and three loops (D, anti-codon, and T loops).
Source: RNAcentral
GCCGGAGUAGCUCAAUGGCAGAGCAAUGCUUUCGUAAAGCAUAGGUUGGAGGUUCAAAUCCUCUCUCCGGCU